AUCCAGCUUGCUGGAUGCUGACGAGCGGCGGACGGGUGAGUAAUGCAUAGGAAUCUGCCCGGUAGUGGGGGAUAACCUGGGGAAACCCAGGCUAAUACCGCAUACGUCCUACGGGAGAAGGGGGGCUCCGGCUCCCGCUAUCGGAUGACCCUAUGUCGGAUUACUUAGUUGGUGAGGUAACGGCUCACCAAGGCCACGAUCCGUAGCUGGUCUGAGAGGAUGAUCAGCCACAUCGGGACUGAGACACGGCCCGAACUCCUACGGGAGGCAGCAGUGGGGAAUAUUGGACAAUGGGGGGAACCCUGAUCCAGCCAUGCCGCGUGUGUGAAGAAAGCGCUCCUCGUGUUGUAAAGCUCUUUCAGGAGAAAGAACACCGCCUAGCGGUUAAUACCCGCUAGGAAAGACAUCACUCGCAGAAGAAGCACCGGCUAACUCCGUGCCAGCAGCCGCGGUAAUACGGAGGGUGCAAGCGUUAAUCGGAAUUACUGGGCGUAAAGCGCGCGUAGGUGGCUUGAUAAGCCGGUUGUGAAAGCCCCGGGCUCAACCUGGGAACGGCAUCCGGAACUGUCAAGCUAGAGUGCAGGAGAGGAAGGUAGAAUUUCCCGGUGUAGCGGUGAAAUGCGUAGAGAUCGG
Molecule: ribosomal RNA, 633 nt
Filed under: uncultured Halomonas sp.
Lineage: Bacteria; Pseudomonadati; Pseudomonadota; Gammaproteobacteria; Oceanospirillales; Halomonadaceae
Description: bacterial SSU rRNA
Rfam family: Bacterial small subunit ribosomal RNA
Source: RNAcentral